Molecule: transfer RNA, 72 nt
Filed under: Thermoguttaceae bacterium
Lineage: Bacteria; Pseudomonadati; Planctomycetota; Planctomycetia; Pirellulales; Thermoguttaceae
Description: tRNA-Glu
Rfam family: tRNA
About the family: Transfer RNA (tRNA) molecules are approximately 80 nucleotides in length. Their secondary structure includes four short double-helical elements and three loops (D, anti-codon, and T loops). Further hydrogen bonds mediate the characteristic L-shaped molecular structure. tRNAs have two regions of fundamental functional importance: the anti-codon, which is responsible for specific mRNA codon recognition, and the 3' end, to which the tRNAs corresponding amino acid is attached (by aminoacyl-tRNA synthetases). tRNAs cope with the degeneracy of the genetic code in two manners: having more than one tRNA (with a specific anti-codon) for a particular amino acid; and 'wobble' base-pairing, i.e. permitting non-standard base-pairing at the 3rd anti-codon position.
Source: RNAcentral
GGCCCCAUCGUUUAAUGGUUAGGACACGGCCCUUUCAAGGCCGCGAUGCGGGUUCGAUUCCCGCUGGGGUCA